Molecule: non-coding RNA, 2531 nt
Organism: Sus scrofa (pig)
Lineage: Eukaryota; Metazoa; Chordata; Mammalia; Artiodactyla; Suidae
Source: RefSeq, a predicted model, not a curated record
UCUGGCGUAGGCAGGUGGCUACAGCUCCGAUUCGACCCUUAGCCUGGGAACCUCCAUAUGCCGCGGGUGCAGCCCUAGAAAAAAAGACGACAGUAAAAUAACUUCUUACUUUAAAAUAAUCAGGGAGCAAAGAAUCAUUACUGGAACCAUGAUCUGCCCCUUGUAAAGCUAGCUCGACUACUUCACAAGUGAAUGUAGGGAUCAGGUACCUCGAAUUGAACCAGAGGCCUGGAGCUGGCCUUUCAGAGGAGAGAAGCCCUCCCACUGGACCGGCGCUUAGACGUUCAGGAGUGUUAUGAUAUAUUCUUCCAACGUUGACACUAGCCUCAUCGGCAGCUCUUCGGACGUCAUUCCCCUCCCCUCCCUCUUCACGUCUCAUUAUCUCCCUCCAGCCCUAGUAUAAGGGGAGGAAGAUAAAAUUUUCCAUGGAAAAAGCAUGGAAACUUCUUGAUGGUGCUGUACAAAUGAGAUCGCAGCUGUCCCUGAAAUUGCAGCAUUACACAGGAGGGAUUAAAGCCACCCAGAGACCGCUAUCCGUUUGUUCAUCUUGGAAUGUUUAUUUCGACAAGACAGAGUCAUGCCUCCUUGAUGUACUUAGCCAAGGGUUUUCUCAGUCCAAGCAGGGAGUGCCCAGAUUUUCUGGUGACACCAAGCCUAGGAACUAGGUAGUAGCGAGUAGAUUGUUUUCUUCUCAGCAACUAUUAUUAACUGACAGGACUAGUUUUUCAUGUUUUGAAGCUGAAAGAGAAUCUCAGUCAAAUGUCACUUCACUGUGCAGUCAUUAUGGUGAAGUUGACUUGUAAGUAAGUAUGAAAUGCAGGAUUCCUCUUUGAAAAAAUGCCUCCCGUAGAACAAGAAAGGCCAUUUUGAGUACUGGGAUUUUGGUGUUAAUUUUGUAAUUUAAAAUAAAGGGGUCACUGUCAAUCAUUUUUGUAUUUAAAAGACUGGUUUAAUGGUCAAGGAUAAUAAGGGUUUAAAGUUUAGUGUUUUACAUAUCUUUUCUAUUAUUUCCAAAUGUAUUAGAAUUCAGUUAAAAUCAUCCUAAAAGGCUAAUUACAAGUGUAUAUUAAUUGGGCAUCUUAUUUUAUAAUGAACCUUUGUUUCUGAAGUGUAUUAGAGACUUCUCAUUGUAAAGUUGGAGUGGGUAGAUGAAUAAUGACAGGUGAUAGUGGCCUAGUGCAUGGUUGCCUCUUUUCUGCUUUUCUCUUUUGGCUGGCCCUCCCUACGUGGAGUUUAUGGGCCAAGGAGCAGAUCUGAGCUGCAGUUGCAACCUACGCCACUGCUGUGGCAACAUUGGAUCCUUUAACCCACUGUCCUGGGCUGGGGAUCAAACCUGCGUGCCAGGGCUCCAGAGACACCCCUGAUCCUGUUGCACCACAGCGGGAACUCCACGGUGGUCGCUGUUUUGAAAACCAAAACCAAAACCCCUCUCCAAGGCAUCCUUGUCCCGAAGCUGAAGAAGGCAGGCACCGAGUAGUUACACAGGGAACAUGUCCAUGGACUUGGCUAGGAAGGCUGGACUUCUCACUUGGCAGGGGCUGUGGGAUUGGCUUUCUUUGUCUUACAAGGUUUCCAAGGCUCCUGCUACUUUCUAGAGCAGCGGCGAUACCACAGGAGUCCGCCACCGCCACCGUCUCUGCCAGCGAGUCCCAUUUCUGAGUAGUUACCCUAAUGCUUCUAAUACGGCAGGAAAUUAAUAUGGCAGUAAAGGAAUAGAGCAUAAUAGUGACUGAUUUAGUCUCUGCUGAUUUAACUUCUGUUUAUUAAGUUAAUAGCAAAUUAUAUGUUUUGCAGUAUGUAGAAUUCUAAGGUUUUUCAGUAAGUUUCUCCAAACUACAAUGUUGAAACAAACUGAGAUUAUUUAAGGAGGUUUUGAAAUGUCAUUAUCUUUGCAUGUCUUUAACUUUAGGAAGUAUUUAUUAGACAUGUUACAGGCACAGCAGUGUUGCAGGGUUCUCUCUGUGAGUGUAGCUAGAAAACGGAGGCUGUCUCAUGAAAGAUUGGAUUUUUAAAAUGAAGUGGGGAGUUCCUGCUGUGUGGUUCAGUGGGUUAAGAACCCUACAUAGUCUCUGUGAGGAUGUGGGUUUGAUCCCUGGGUCUCGCUCAAUGGGUUAAGGAUCCCGCGUUGCUGUGGCUGUGGUGUAGGCCGGCAGCUGUAGCUCCGAUUCGACCCCUGGCCUGGGAACGUCCAUAUGCCGCAGGUGCAGCCCUAAAAAGCAAAAUCAAACCAAACCAAACCAAUCGUGUGUGCGUAUAUGUGUGUUGUAUGUGUGUAUAUAUAUGUACACGUAUAUGUAUAUACAUGUGUGUAUAUAUACAUUCAUUUUUGGAAGUUGAAGAGAAACUUCCAAAGCAUACUUUCACAAAAUACUAAAGCCAAGGUCAUUAAAAAAGUCUUUUUAAAAGAUUCAGCUGAAUUCUAGUGGGUUUGUCUUAAUUACAUCACUAAUGAACUACUGUGUCUGUGCCAGGUUUGAGCCGGUGCCCUCUGGCUUAAGAAAAUUAUGUUAUUAUUGUUUGCAAUAAUAAAG